GACAGUGUGGCUCAGUGGUAGAGCGCUUGCCUAGCCCUGGGUUCCAGCCCCAGCACUGGCA
This 61-nucleotide transfer RNA is filed under the name Ictidomys tridecemlineatus (thirteen-lined ground squirrel). RNAcentral describes it as "Spermophilus tridecemlineatus (thirteen-lined ground squirrel) tRNA". It matches the Rfam family "tRNA". Rfam says of the family: Transfer RNA (tRNA) molecules are approximately 80 nucleotides in length. Their secondary structure includes four short double-helical elements and three loops (D, anti-codon, and T loops). Lineage: Eukaryota; Metazoa; Chordata; Mammalia; Rodentia; Sciuridae. RNAcentral also lists the same sequence under 1 other name. The record is from Rfam by way of RNAcentral.